Molecule: ribosomal RNA, 374 nt
Filed under: uncultured bacterium
Lineage: Bacteria
Description: bacterial SSU rRNA
Rfam family: Bacterial small subunit ribosomal RNA
Source: RNAcentral
UACGAAUGGAGCGAGCGUUGUUCGGAAUCACUGGGCGUAAAGCGUGCGCAGGCGGUUUUGAAAGUUAGAAGUGAAGGCCCAGGGCUUAACCUUGGAAUUGCUUUUAAAACUUCAAGACUAGAGUACUGGUGAGGUUAGCGGAAUUCCGAGUGUAGAGGUGAAAUUCGCAGAUAUUCGGAGGAACACCAAUGGCGUAGGCAGCUAACUGGACAGUAACUGACGCUCAUGCACGAAAGCGUGGGGAUCAAACAUGAUUAGAUACCCUGGUAGUCCACGCCCUAAACGAUGUGUGCUAGUUGUCGGGGCCUUUAGGUCUCGGUGACGCAGCUAACGCUUUAAGCACACCGCCUGGGGAGUACGGUCGCAAGAUUAAA